This 468-nucleotide ribosomal RNA is filed under the name uncultured bacterium. RNAcentral describes it as "bacterial SSU rRNA". It matches the Rfam family "Bacterial small subunit ribosomal RNA", at positions 8 to 518 of the family's 1533-position model. The record is from RNAcentral.
AGAGUUUGAUUAUGGCUCAGAACGAACGCUGGCGGCAGGCUUAACACAUGCAAGUCGAACGGGUGUAGCAAUACAUCAGUGGCAGACGGGUGAGUAACACGUGGGUAACCUUCCUAGGGGUACGGAACAACUCAGGGAAACUUGAGCUAAUACCGUAUACGUCCGUGAGGAGAAAGAUUUAUCGCCCUUAGACGGGCCCGCGUCGGAUUAGCUAGUUGGUGGGGUAACGGCCUACCAAGGCGACGAUCCGUAGCUGAUCUUAGAGGAUGAUCAGCCACACUGGGACUGAGACACGGCCCAGACUCCUACGGGAGGCAGCAGUGGGGAAUCUUGGACAAUGGGCGCAAGCCUGAUCCAAGCCAUGCCGCGUGAGUGAAGAAGGUCUUCGGAUUGUAAAGCUCUUUUGCCAGGGACGAUAAUGACGGUACCUGGAGAAUAAGCCCCGGCAAACUUCGUGCCAGCCGCAGC